Molecule: long non-coding RNA, 42864 nt
Filed under: Citrus maxima (pomelo)
Lineage: Eukaryota; Viridiplantae; Streptophyta; Magnoliopsida; Sapindales; Rutaceae
Description: long non-coding RNA (CMAX_LNC003002)
Source: RNAcentral
UCCUUUUGGGUGCGUUUGGUACACGUAUUGUAUUAUGUUGUAUUGCAUUAUUUUAAUGCUGGUGUAUUGUAUUAUGCUGUAUUGCAUUAGCACUGUAUUAUAAUAAUACUGUACAAUGUUUGGUGCUACACAGUACUGUAUUAAUUUUUAGUUAUGUUAUGUUUGGUGUUGCACUGUACUGUAUUAAUUUCUUUUGGUGAUUAAUUUUAAUUAUAUAUUUAGAAAAUAAUAUUUACUAGUACUUAGAAAAAUACUAAAUAUAGAAGUGUUAAAUUUAAAAAUUUUUACAUCAAUUUUUUUUGUUUAAAUAAAAUAAUCAUAAUUCUUUUAUUUAAACUAACAAAUUCUAAGAUUUACAAUUAUAUAAGAUUUAUUUUUUCAAUAAUUCGUAAAUAUAUAACCUAUGAAAUAAAGAUUGAAACAAAUAAUCCAAUCAAAUAGCAUUUAAAAACUAUCACAGCAUAAAUAAAACAAACUAUCACAAGAUUCAUUCAAAGUUAAUACAUACUUCAAAAACAUCACAAAUUAAUAAGUAACACAAUAGUUGUUUGUGUCCGAUAAUUUAAGUACACACAUCUACAAGCCAAACUACUAGUUGGUUAUGUCAUUGUUUAGUUAGAAAUCCAUACUCUCUAAUCAAAUUCCACCUCUCCUCUCAUGCUCACGCAAAAGCAUCCUAACAUAAGCGAACUUACGAUCACGAUCAUUUCGUAAUACUUUGAAAGCCCUUAUAUGUGAAGGCUUCUCAACCAUCAAAUUUAAUGCAAUAAGCUCGUCAUCCAUAGAAAGUCCUAUCGAAGCAAGCUCUCUACCAAUGUAAUCAUGAUCUUCACUACUUCCAAACAUAUUCUGAGACAUGUCAGCGUUGGCUUGGUGAAAUGCUGAAACCAAUUUGUCAAUACCACCAGCAAUUUGUUCAUCUAAUUUAGACCUCCUCAUGUUUGAUGAUUGUGAACGUGAUCGAGUAGUGUAUUGAGAAUUUGAAGGCAGUGUAGUCGACAUUGGAGAACCUUCAUCAUCAAUCUCAUUAUCAUCAUCAUGAAUUUCUUCUUGAAGUGCUGCAUUAGCCAUAUCAUUUGGGGUUUCUGCUGAACUUCCAGUUGCACGGUCUUUUCCAAAUAUGUUUGCUAGCCUCUCAUAAUAUGGAAAUGACUUAUCUCUUCAGUUGCUUGCAUCUUUAUGGGACUACAAUAAUAAAAUAAGAUAAUUAAAUAAACUCUAUUAUAUUCAUAACAAACAAAUUAAGGACAAUGUUUAUAAAUGAUGACAUAAAAAAAAUAAUUUUCUUUACUAACCUCGACAUAUGAUCUACAUACUUCGUCACUGUUAACCACCACACAUUUUCUUACUUCAUUCCAGCCAAAACCGCUAGUGUUCAACAUAUCAAAUAUCACUCCAUAACUUUUUUUCCAUAUUCUUAUCUUAGAGUCAAUAUGUGGAUACGCCUUCAAGCCGCUCCCUGGUAAUAGUUUUUCUAAUUCAUUUUCAAUAUAUUUGUAACUUCUAGAUUUAAAGGUGCCGUUAUCAGCUCGACCACCAUUUGCAACUACAGCAUCUAAAAUGUUCAACAUUGCCUCUUCUUCGUCUUUUGUCCAUGCUCGUCUUGAUCCUGUCUUAUUUCCAGUAGUAUGGCUUGGUCCUCCACUCUCCAUUCCUACAAAAUGAAUAUUAUAACAAUUUUUGAACAAGUAACUAAAAUAUAACACCAAGUCAGUUCACAUCAAUAAACCUCGAUAAAUUUCCAAUGACAUCAAAUAUAAAUACAAGGUUACAACCUUAGAAAUUUUCCUAAUGACAUCUAUAUACUAACAAAAGUACAGCCUCCGAUGCUUUCCUAAUCACAUCUAUAUACUAACAAAAGAUGCUUUCCUAACGAUAUCUGUAUACUAACAAAAGUACAGCCUCAGAUAUUUUCCUAAUCACAUGUAUAUACUAACAAAAGUACAUGCUCGGAUACUUUCCUAAUGACAUCUAUAUACUAACAAAAGUACAUGCCCAAAUGAUUUCUUAUUGACAUCUAUAAAUUAGAUAAGUCCUAAUUUCCAAGCCAAUUAUUAUACAUAGUAGUAGCUAGAUCAUUCCUCCAGCUCGUCCACUGGUCUGAAGCUUCAAUGCUACUUAUACUAUCAUUAUCUUCUACUUCAUUAUUAGGUAAGUCAAUUAAUUCAUGCUCCAUUAGAUCCACAGACAUUUCUCUCCUAAUCAGAUUAUGCAAUAAACAACAUGCAGUAAUAAUGCGACAUUGGGUUUUAAUUGGAUAAAAUGAAGGACUUCAAAGAAUAGCCCAUCGCAUUUUGAGCAAUCCAAAACACCGUUCAAUUACUUUUCUUGCUGAUGAAUGUUUCAUAUUAAAGAAUUCUUCUUUAUUGCGAGGAGCACACCCAUCUCUCCAUUCCGAUAAAUGAUAUCUCGUUCCCCUAUAUGGUGCAAGGAAUCCUUCAGCAUUUGUAUAUCCGGCAUCCACAAGAUAAUAAUAACCUAUUUAUUUCACAUAAGCAUUAAUAUAAUUUUGAUUUUGAAUAUGUAAUUUGAUUAAAUUAAUUUUUUGGAUUGAGUAAUACCUGUAGGAACUUUUAAACCAGUUGGUUUAUUUAAUGCAUCGCGAAGUACCCUUGAGUCAGUGGCAGAGCCUUCCCAUUCGGGCAUCACGAAGAUGAAUUUCAUAUCUCGUGAACAUACCCCUAAAACAUUUGUAGCAAUCUCACCAUUUCUUGUUCGAUAUCUUGGUUUAUCAUUUUCUGGCACACGGAAUCUAAUAUAAGUUCCAUCCAAUGCUCCCAAGCAAUUCCACAUGCACAAAACAAAUGAAAUUUAAUUAGCACUAAAUUAUCAAUCGCUAUAAUAAAAUAUAAGUAAUUGAAAAUGUACCUUAAACCACUUCCACCUCUCAUCAGUGCAAUUCUCUGGUACAGGAUCUGGCACCCUUAGUAAAACAUCGUGUAGCCGUAUUACUCUGUUUAACAUUGAAUUGAUGUAUCUACUAACAGUCUCACCAGAUCUAAAAAACGUACUGCCAAUUGUGCGAUUCUUAACAUGAUGAGACAAAGUGUGUAGGAACAUGCAAACUUGCUCUUCAACAGCCAAUGAACCAGUAGCCUUUAGUCCCAUCGAUCGAAGUAGCUCACAUAGUAGGCCAAAUGUCCUUCUAUCCAUUUUUAGUUGAUUUACACAUUGAAUGUCACUAUUGCCUAUAAUGCUAUCUAAGUAUUGUAGUCGAGUAGCAUGGAAUUGGAAUGUACGACUACGAAUCAUUUUUCUUUCGUUAUGCCUUCGGAUCAACAUCAUUAACAAAAAAUACAUCACAAUGAACAUGAACCUCAAUUUCAUUUGCCACAUGAUGAAAGAAAAUUUUCUUCCCAUGUCCAUAUCUAACACAACCAUUAAAAUGAGGGAAAAAAAAUCAGCUAGUAGACCAUUUGAUAAAUUUCCAUAAAGUUAGAUUAGAUUUCCAUAUAAAGGCUAUGUUUCAACACUUGAGCUAAAUAGAAUCACAAAGAAGAGAAUAGAGGCAAAUGAUGAUGAUAAAUAAUAAUAAUAAAAAUCAUGCCUACCACACGAUAUAAUAGAGGGUACAGGAAAUAUAUUGAAAUCCAAGGAAUUAUAUAUCAUAAGUCAUUUCUUGUUGAACAAAUAAUAAAUGGUAAGAAAUUGAACUCACUGGAAGCAAGCAGCAGCCGUUGGAAGGAAAUUCUAGUUUACGUAUUUGUUUUGCAACCUAAAUAAAAAUAACCUAUUGAAAUGAAUGAAAAAGAAGUCAAUUUUAAUGAAUAAUUAAAUCUGAAAAAAAAUUCAUAUAAAGUAUGCAACAUUUGCUAGCUACAAUAGCUAUAAAUAUGUGUGUGUAUUUAGCAACUAGCAAGUCUUUAUAAAAUUCAUGUGAGUACUUAAACUCAAACUCUUUUACUCAUACACUAAUUUUUUUCCUUUUAAUUUAUGAAUGGUCAACAAAACUUGAGAAACUUUUUUAUCCCCACACAACAUGAAUCUGUCCAGGAAAAUAUUAUCCAUUGCACCAAUAAUACUCUACAGGUGGUCAUAUAUUAUAUAAAAGAAGAUAUUGUUCAACAAUAAUGAUAUUUUGAAUUUUUUGUUUGGUCUUUAAUCAUUUGUUCAUAAAGUUACUGUCUUUUUGAAAUUUAUCUUUUGACCAAAAAGUGCAGCACAGUUAGUUAGUAAUGCAAAUUCUUGCAAACAUAAAUAAUAAUAAUAAUAAUAAUAAUAAUAAUAAUAAUAAUAAUAAUAAUAGUUAAUUAUCCAGUGUUGCUAACACUAUUAUAAAAGCUUUAGCUUCCCUGUAUGCUUUACGCCUCCAAUCAUCAUGAUAAAAGAUGAACUACCAGUUCCUUAUAAUGCUUAGACUCCACAUUUGGCUACCUAUUACUAGUUGUUAAUUAUGGGAAAAAAUUGUAGAAGAAGAAAGAGAAAAUAAAUAAAAGUGGGAAGUUAUAUUAAUAACUAAAAAGAAGGUUACGGUCGAGGCUGAACUGCCAAUUGCGACAAACAGAAACAUAACCUCACAAUAUGUAAUUUCAGUCAUCCAGUUUGUUGCCAAGCGCUAAAACAGGGCUGUAAUUUCAGUUACUCUUGUUGAAUUUUGCAACUUCCUUUCUAAUGUAACCCCUGUAAUUGAUUAUGUCUUACCUCAUUAUUAACAUGUUCUCCCAAACAAAAAAACAAAAUCCAUUUUCAUAGACAGCUAAAUAGGUUACAAGCUUUAAUAAGCUUCUAAUUGCAGAGGGUUGACUGAUUUAUGACUCGAUAUUAUAAUUCGAUUUUAAUCACUAAUUUAUUGUAUUAUUGUAUUAAUUGUCGUAUGAAUAAAUUGUGUAACAAUGAUGAUAUUGCUCAAAUUUCCAAUCAUACACUAUGAACCAGACUACUUUUUCAUAUGAACCUAACAAAAAAAUUGACAGGAAAAGCAUGAUUUGAACAAAUGGAUGACCAACUUUCUAAAAAGAAAGAAAAGGAAAAGAAUAAUAAAAACUAAAAGCAAACGGAUGAUCAGGACCACAACGUUUCCAUUUUACUGCAACAUUUCACACACACAUAUAUAAAGUAUAUGCAGAGAUGUUAUUCCUCUGUUCUCAUAUAAUCCAAACAGGGGCAAUUUUCUGCACUUGGCUAAAACCCACCGCGAGCAAUUAGCCCCUUAUUUUUCAUAAAAAUCAAUUGCUACGAAUGUUUGAUUAUAAUGGAAAAACAUGAUUAAAUUGAAAGCAAAUAAAAUAAAACCCUAAUCUAGAAAUUAAACCUAAAUUAAAAAAUUAAACCCAAAUGAAAUAUCAAACAUUAGGUGGUGAAGGACAGGGAAAACAAUUGUACUGCACAGUAGAGAUGGUGUUGCAGCGGAGGUGGUGUCACGCAGUGGGGUGCAGUGGAGGUGGUAUCACGCAGUGGGUGGGUGUCGCACGAUGAGGUUACAGUGGAGUUGGUGUCGCACGGCAAAGGUUGUUGAUGUGGUGGUGGAGCAUCGUGGAGUUGGCUCUUGCUAAGCCACUGCACAGGAGAAAUCACAGAUUGAACAAGGAGAGCUAUUUUGGUUUAUUUGAGGACAAGGUGAGAACGAGAGGGAAGUCUAAUUUUUCUGGUCUCAGAAAUAGUUGCAAAACCCGCUUAAACCCGACCCCCCCCCUCGGGUUUAGUUUAUGCGGGUUUGACCGCAUAAAAUUUGGAGUUGACCACAUUGUAAUACUAUGUGAUGUAAGUACCAAACAUGGUAUAAUAAUAUUCUAAUACAAUGAGGAGCUCUUAUACCAUAACCAAACAUGCCCUUUGCUCUCUCCCCCACGUGAACUGAUUUGCUCAUUGCUCAAGCAAAAAUAGUUCAUCACAUGAGAAAGGAAACGGCAUCAGCAGGAGUGGUAAGUUUAUGUAUUUUUAUGUUAAAUUUUUCUUUUAUUUUGAAUAUACAAAACUAAACGUAUUAUUAAAUAUUUAUCAAUCAUAUAUAUAUAUAUAUAUUAUUUGUGUAGGUACUUAUAUACCCAACUUAAGGUAGUGUGCACAAUAUUUAUCAGUCAUUUCCUUAUAAUUGGCACCAAAUAAGCUUUCACCAGAAAAUCACAAUUUGUUAGUGUAUGCUUAUAUUUUUUAAUUUCUAAAAUCUCAUAUUAUAUUUUAAUUUUUUGUGUAUUACAAUAACCACUCCGUAUGCUUUGCAACCGCAUUAUCCUUCUUAUUUGAUGACGUACGAAGGAUCUGGAAGUAAAAAUUUCCAAUAUUUGCUACAUCAACAACGUAAUGAAGACAACAAUUGAAAGUUUAUGCAUACUUUACAUUUCUAAAUUUUGCGAUUUGAGAUUUGAAUUCUUUAUAGCACUUGAUGUUAAUAGCUCCAUUUGGCCACCAUAUUCAUUAUAUAUUUACAGUGAAUUUCGACUUUUAUUUGUGCUAGAUGACAUUGUCAAUAUUACACUACUUUAACUGCCGCAAAAAACAACAAAUUAUUACCAACAAAAUUUUUUUCAAACUUAAUCCGAAAAAUUUCACCAAUCGACAAUUUUUACCAAAUAAUUACUUACAAAAUUACCAACAAUUAUCAAAAAAUAAUUACCAACAAUACAAUUACCAAAAUAAUUCCCAACAAAAUAAUCAUUCAACAAAAUAAUUACUUACAAAAUUACCAACAAUUAUCCAAAAAUAAUUAUCAAAAAGUAAUUAUCAAAAUAAUUAUCAAAAUAAUUAUCAAAAAAUAAUUAUCAACAAUACAAUUACCAAAAUAAUUCCCAACAAAAUAAUUACCAAACAAGAUUACCAACAAUUAUCAUAAAUUAAUUAUUAAAAUAAUUAUCAAAAAAUAAUUAUCAACAAUACAAUUACCAAAAUAAUUCCCAACAAAAUAAUCACUGAACAAAAUAAUUGCCAAAUAAAAUUACCAACAAUUAUAAAAAAAUAAUUACAAACCAAACGGAGAGAGUGAGAUGGAGAGAGACGAGGGAGACGAGGACCAGCAAGCAGCACCACCGAGCAGCGACCACCGACCGCCGAGAGCAGCAACCACCGAGUAGAUCUAGAGUAGUAGCGAGCGAGAGGGGAGAUGGAGACGAAGCUGCAGCUGGAGCGAGAGGGAAGACGAAGACGAAGCUGGGGAGACGGAGACGAAGCUGCUGCUGGAGUGAGAGGAAAAACGAAGCGAGAGGGGAGACGGAGACCUAGUAAAGCUGCUGCUGGAGUGAGAGGAAAAACGAAGCGAGAGGGGGAGAGGAGUGAGAGGAAACUCGGCCUCGAGUUGAGCUGAAGUAAUGGCUUGUGAUGAACUACUCCUGCUGAUGUCGUUUUCUUUCUCUUGUGAUGAACUACUUCUACUUGAGCAAUGAACAAAACAGUUCACGUGGGGGAAAAGAAUGAGCAAAAGGGAAAGUGGAGUUCACGUGGGGAGAGAGCAAAAGGAGAAGUGGAGUGGAGUUUAUGUGGGGGCCAAAGUGAAAAGAGAAAAGAAAAGUGUGGGUCAUGUGGGGAAUGGCGAGAGAGCACUCGAAACGACAGCACAAGCUACCGUUUCUCUCGGCAUUCUCUUGCCGUUCUCUACGUUUAGCAUUUCUCAUUAAUUUUUGUCUGAGGAGCUUCGCUAACUAAUUUUUAAACAGCAUUUUUUACAAGUCACAUGAGUUCGAAUCUGAAAACAUAAAAUUAAAAAAUUAAUGUGGGCUUUAUCCAUCCCUACCGUUAAAAAAAAAAUAAAAACAGGAAAAAACAAUAAAUUAUUAUGCAUAUGCUUGCAAUAUGAAUAAAUACCCCCAAGCUUGCGCCUCCCUAUGCGGAAUGAGAAUCAAAUGUUAUUUCCUAGUAUUAGAUAGGAAGAAUUCUCAUGUACAGGUUAAUGCAAAUACAUUGUGCAACUUGUUGUAAGAGAGUUAGCAAAUUUUUAUUUUCAACGAUAGUAAACAAUAUAUAUAUAUAUAUAUAUGGGAGUUGUAAUCAAAUGAAAAAAUUAAUAAGCAGAAGGACUUUUUUAACUCGUUAUGAGUGAACCAAAAAAUGUUGUACGCGAGAUGAUGAUAGGAUGUAGAUGAAGAAAAAACCAAUGACAGAAAAAUCUUUUCAUCAAUUACUGUACCUUUUUUUUUUUGCAAAUAAAUUAAUUUAUAUAUACAUAAUUAGCUCCUACAGUGUUCUCUGUAGAGAGUUUUGAUGGAGAAGAGAAGCACCUCGACAUAUAAAAAAAGAACAUUUACAUCAAAACAGCCAGGACGAGACUGGUUAUUGACUUCUGAAUUAAAUUCGUUGCAAGGAUAUUUGCAAAGGAGUGAGAAAAAGGAUACUACUUGGCAACAAAAUGUGCCAGCUAAGAAUUAUUAGCUCAAAAAGAUAUAUAUAAUCAUCAUUUAAGAAUUAUUUUAUUCCCAAUUGGGUCGCUAAAACUAAAUUAUUCAAGGAGUGGUGUGUGUAUAUAUAUAUAUAUAUAUGACUGUUUCUUAAUCCAUGUAUGAAAAUUUCAACGGCUCAGAUCUUGAUUGAUAUGUUCGCAUGUUUUUUAGCACCAUUGGAUUGUGCAUUCCAUGGACAGAACGACUAAAGGGGGAAGGGUGGCGGCUUGUACUAAUUAUUGUAUUUCUGCACGUUAUUUUUAUUUAUUUAUUUUUUGCCUUUCUUACAUCGAAGUUAGAUCCAGAAAUAAGCAGAAAUAGUAUAAAACUGCAAACGUGUGACGCAGUCUAUGGAUCAUGUCAAGGUCAAAGUGGUAAGUCCUGACUCCUGAAACUUUUGCGAGCCGUGAUACUCUAGAAUUUGUCAAUUGAAUCGUCAUAUUCGUUAAUAUCCUUAAUACUAUCUCUUUGCACAUAAUUAUCAUUUUAUUUUUCAAUAUUUUUUACUUUCAUUUUCAAAAUUCAAAUUUGUGUGCUGCUUGGGGACCGAUCAAUUUGGUAAUUAAUUAAUAAGCCAAAGAAUAUUAAAGAAAUUAAUAUCCUUGCAGUGAAAUCAAUACUACCAAAAUCAUGCACUUUUAUCUCUAUUUUAUUGUUUGCAAUUGUGAUUCCUGGCCCUUAUGGUUAAAAAUUAUCACUAGUGCCCUACUAAUAACGUUGAAAACGUGUUGAAUCUUAAUUUUACAUAUGCAAUUAACCAAUAGAAUCAUGUGAUAUAUAUGUCUUUUGUAUACAUGUCAUUAGGGGCACUGAGGAAGAAAUAUGAUUUUCAUUCGGAAGGGUACAAAAGGAAGAAGCCAUGAACUUAAGUUGGUUAUCAAAUAAAAUCAAUAAAAAUGAGGGGGCAAAUAAUAACGACUAUAAUACCACCAAAGCUAAAACUUGAAUAGAUUUUGGCAUAAAUAUUUUAACCUUAAGGCCAACUUUAAAUUUGCACAGAUCUGGUAUCUGGGUCACAUGGUUCUCCCUCUACAUGUCAUAUUGGUUGAUUAUUCGUACUUCCAGUGUACGUAAGUUUUUUGCAGUUAACAAAUAAUACCAUAUUAAUCCUUGUAAUAAACUUAACAAUUAUAUUUGUUUGAGAUGCGCCUUUAAAAAUAUGUUAUAUAAUUGCUAACAACCAUUUACUUAGAUUGGUCGACAUCUCCUCCUUAGUUCUAAAGUAGAGAGUUCGAAUCUCUUAUAUAUAUACAGUAGAACCUCUGUAGAUUAAUAGGGUUGGAAACAUAUCAAAUCUACUAAUUAAAAGAGAAAUUAAAUAAUCGAUUAAUAAACAAUUUAUUAGUUUACAUAGUUAUAAGAUUCUUUUUUUAUAAAAAGUAUUUUCUCAUUAUUUUAUCAAAAUUAUUAGUUUAUCAAAAUUAUUAGUUUAGUCCAUUGGCCUACUGAUGACCGUGAAAAUUUAUUAUAUAAUCGAGAUUAUUAAUUUAUCGAGUAUUAAUUUAUAAAGAUUUUACUUUCUCUCUCUGUGUGUAGAGAGAGAGAGAGUCCUUUUUUUAUGUGGGUGCCCUCAUUUUUUUUUUUAUGCGAACACAUUAAUAAGUCAUAUGAUUUAAUGAAGUCAAUGUAGAUAUGCUAUUAAACCAUAUGAUUUUAUAUUAAACCAUAUAUGUAUAAGAAGAAAAUUACGGUGUACACACACACACACGCACGCGCACACACACACGCGCACGCAUGCACACACACGCGCGCACGCGCACACACACACAAACACGCGCGUGCGCGCGCGUACGCACACACUUAUAUUGAAUGAAACACUGAAUAUAUGGCUUAUGGCUUACUAGCAUAUCCGUAUAAGAAGAAAAUUAGGGUGUCCACACACACACACACAAAAGGAAAAAACAGUUCUAUCAAACCCUCACAAUUUUAAAUUCAAAAUUGCUUGAAUUAUAAAUUGAACCUCAUCAUAACUUUACAAAUAAUAUUUUGUCCCUCAAAUUUGAAGAUUUUGUAGUGUGUAUUUUUUUUUUUUAAAUUUGAAUAAAUUUGAAUUUGGCUGAAAUUUGAAUAGGUCCAAACACAAAUGGAUAACACGCUUUUCUUUUUUCAAUAUCUAAAUAUAAAUGAUAUCUUUUUUUUUUAUAAAUGAAAAAUAUAUUAAAUAUAGUUAUUUGACAUAUGUAUCUUUUUAAUCCAUAAAAAAAGAUUAGGUUUAUAUUUUAGAAAAAUAAAUAUAUUUAAUAGAGAUAUUGUUGAAUAUAAUAUUUACUUCUUGUUAGGGGUGGCAAAAAUACCCGCCCGGUCCGAACCCGGGCUGCACCCGGGUGUCGUGGGCUAGGUAUUACCCGACCUAGGUAUGAAGUCGGGUCGGUCUUGGGCAUUACUUGAUAAAUCCAGAGUCCGACCCGGAACCCGGAUUUUAUUAUAUAUAUAUAUAUAUAUAUAUAUAUAUAUAUAUAUAUAUAUAUAUAUAUAUAUAUAUAUAUAUAUAUAUAUAUAAUAUUAUUUUAAAUAUUUAUAUUUAUUUGACUCAUUUAUUAUAUAUAUAAAGUUUUAAACACUUCAAGUUUAUAUUUUCAUGUCAAAUUUUAUUGAAAUAAAUUUAAAACUUAUAAAAUUACCAAAAAAUAAAAAAAUUAUACACAUAUAAUAUUAACACAUAUAAAAUCCAGGUACCCAGAUUAAAACCCGACCCGGGCAUCUAAAAAUUGCAUCUGGGCCGGGUUCGGGCAUUGCAAUACCCGAACCCAAUCCGGGGUUUUGCCAACCCUACUUCUUAUUCAAAUAAAAAUCACAAAACUUCUCUUUUUUUAUUCAAAUGUAAAUGUCUGUAAAUCAUAUAUAAGUUAAAAAUAAAUAAAUAAAUUUUAAAAAAUUUGACUUCAGACGUUUGGGUGCCGCAGCAUUCUACCAUGCUUCGUAGGAUCGUUGCUAAUAGCGUAGUUUCACAUCCAUGAUAUCAUUGAUAAGGCCCGGCUCCCAUAUUUCCACGUCAUCGUCGAUGUCGACGUCACCGUUGAUCAUCUCGAUCACCGUCGACAUGCGAGGUCGGAGGCUAGAUUUUUCUUGUACACAGAGUAGGCCAACCUUCAGGAAUCGAACGGCUUCAUUUCCUGAGAAGUUACCGCAUAGCAUUGGAUCCACUAAAUGUUGAAGCUUGUCUGUGUUGUGCAUUUCCCAAGCCUGCUUGAUUGCACGAAAUAUUUAAAUCUCCAAUUUUCUCUGUUGUCUUAUACACUUUAUUUGCUGAAAAUUUUUAGAUGCAAUUUACAAAAUUGAUAUCGGAGCAACGCAUUAAUAGUUUUCAUUAUUUUUUUACUACUAAACACCGGUGUAUUGAUGCUCCAAUUCACAUUUUGUAAAGUAUGGAUGUCCCCACACUUUAUGAUAUCAAAUAUGGUACCAUUUUUGGAAAGAAAGAAUCAUCUGCAAAACGGAUUAUGAAUAGAUACACACACAUAUAUAUAUAUAUAUAUAUAAACACAUAUUACCUUCUCCACUAGAUAAUGCUCUCCAAGCUCUUUGUCAAAAUGAACUGCUGCUUGCCCGGUGACUAUUUGAAGAAGUAGCACUCCAAAACUAUAGAUAUCUGAUUUUGGAUUUAAAUGACCACUAACAGCAUAGUCUGGAGCGAGAUAGCCUCUAAUUUAAUUUGUACAAAAUUAAGUGAGCAUAAAUAAUUUCAACAACCUUAUACAAUAAACAGAGAAGAUUAAUUUGUGAAUUUGAAUUUAAUGUUAAGCUAUCAGCAUUGUGUUGAGUUUUUACAACAUUGUGAUUGAUAAUUAUUAGAUAAAAAAUGAUUUUCAAAAAUCAAAUAUUAAUUGUUCACUACUGUAAAUGCACACGUGACUAAUGAUUAUAAAAAGAUUCAGCAGAGACCAGCUCAAUAUUGAAUCUAAAUUUAUAAUAUGUAUGUUGUUGCACUUACAAUGUGCCAGCGACCCGUGUGCUAAUAUGAGUAAUGUCCUCUGGGAAUAACUUGGAGAGGCCAAAAUCUGAGAUUUUAGGAUUAAAAUUUUGAUCCAAAAGAAUAUUACUAGGUUUAAUAUCUCGAUGCACAAUACUUGGCUUAAUUUCCUCAUGAAUAUAAGCAAGCCCCCGAGCAAUUCCUAGUGCAAUUUCCCGCCUUGCUGUCCAGCUAAAUUUAGCUCUAUUUUUCUCCUCACCUGCCAUUAAUUCAAGAUUAAUUAAAAAAAAUAUUAAUUAAUUCAAGAAACCACGUUGCAUUAAUUAAGAAAACAGAACAUUACGGACAUGUAUAUACACUACUAUAUUGAAUGGGUCAACAUCGAGUGUGUUUUAUGUUACUGAUUUAACGUCAAGAUGCCAUAGGAUUAAUACAGGAUAUUAAAAACUUAUCAGGAUUAAAAUGGGUAAAAUAAUUUUUAACAGGGGCCAAAAUAUCAUUCCUUACAAGAAAAAAGUGCUUUUAUACUAAUCAAAUUACAAAAUAACAUUUUCAAACAAAUCCGUAAUAUCAAAGAUGGGGAGACAUAUAUACAAAUACCAAGCAAUGUUUGAGAGAGACUGUUGUUUUGCAUGUAAUCAUAGACAAUGAUUCUGCAAGGCCCUUCAAUGCAACCACCAUGAAGCUUUACAAGAUUUUCGUGACAAAUAUUUGCCAUUGAAGCUACUUCUGACAUGAAUUCUUUCUCUCCUUGAUUGGAUUCCACUGAAAGCACUUUCACGGCUACAACAGUUCCAUCUUGAAGCUUUCCCUUUAAGGUCCAACCAAGAAAUAAAUUAAUUUUUAUGCACAUAUGUUAAAAUUAAUUCGAUUAAUAAAAAAAAAUUACAGAAAAUAUACCUUAUAAACGGAGCCAAAUCCACCUUCGCCGACUUUAUUGGAUGAACAGAAGCCAUUAGUGGCACUUUUCAGUUCAUAGUAGGAGAAUGCAUUAAUAUUUUUCAAAAUUUUUGCACCUGAUUUCGUGAAAAAGUUAGCUACAUGAAGCGUACUUAAGACGAAUAAUUAACUUAUAUGUUAGGAACAAUGAUGUGAUCAUACUGACCAAUUACCACUGAUCACAUUGCUUGAUAAGUUGACAAUAACAACAUGUAAAGUCAAUUUAUAAGAGACAUUUAAGGAAAAAUUAAAAGGGUAAGUGCUCCUUUAGACUUUAAAGUUCGAGCUAAUUUCAUAUAUAGUUAGUUCUUAAAUUUAUAAAAAUUAAUUAAAACACCUUGUUGUAUAUUGUUCUCAUUAAAAUUUAUUUAUUUUUAUUUAAUUAUUCUCUACUUUUACUUAUAACAUAUCAGUUCAAUUUCACUAUUAAUUUAUAUUGGAUGGAAAUGAAGUUCAAUUUAUUUGACUAAUUUUUGAAAAUACAAAAACCAACAACCUAAUUGACCAAAUCCUAAGAUUGAAGAGGCAUUUAUCCUAACAAAAUUGACGAUAAGUAAUUUUAAAUAUAUUGACUACGCAAACUCUGAAAAAAAGUUGGUCAAAAUGAUAACAAAAUACAGAAGUUCACAUGAGAGAAAGACUCUUAACUCUAUGAAUGAACCAUAUGUAUGUAUGUAUGUAUGAGAUGAUCACAUGAGGAUGAAUACUAGAAAAAUGUUUUAGAUAUGUGCUUUUUGGAAAUACAAUAAUUUGUAUUUGUAUAUUACCUCCUACAGUGUCCUCUGCAGAGAAAUUUGAUGGCCAAGCAAAGCACCUUGACAAAGGAAAAAAGAACUUCAUCUCAUCAAAUUAUCUAUGUAAUUUACUUCUGAUCAAUGCAUGAAUACUAACGAAAGAAAAGAAAGAGAUUUCACAUUGAAAUGUAUGUGCCAGUGACUUUUAGCUGAAAACGUUUAUAAUGUAUAUAUAGCAAUCAUUAAAGAAUUUUUUUAUUGCCACUUGGGUAAUCAAUGAAGUAAUCAAUUAGCAAAUCUUUAAAUUAAACCGUGAUUCAAGUAAGGAGCGUUGGUACGUGUACGACUCUUUAAUUAUCCAUUAAAUUUUUGAUGGCCCAGAACUUUAAUUGAUAUUUUCGCAUGUUUUCAGCACCGUUGGAUUGCACAUUCCAUUGACUUGGUGGAGAGAGGACGAACCGGAGAAGGGCGGCGGUUAGUAUUAAUUAUUGUUUGUGCAUCAUGUAUGAUUGCUUUUGUUUAAUAUUUUUGACUCUUUGAUAAGCAAAAUUAUCAUAUUUAAAUUACUGAGUGUUUUGCAGUCUAUGGACUUCAGAAUCAUUAUAAUUACAAUCUAGGUCAAUGUGAGUUGUGAAAUUUUGAGGAUUUAGCCAGCCAUGAUGAUCUAGACGAUUUGUUGAAUUGGUAUUAGAACAAGAAGGAUGCCGCGAAAUUGUUAAUCGAGAUGAAUAAGCAAAAUUUAUAACCUUAUUAAUUAAAUUGAAGUCAAUACCGUAUCAUGCUCUUUUAUCCCUCAUUUCAUUGUUUGCCACUUGCCACAUGCUACCCUUACAGUCUAUUUAAUAUAUAUGGUUUUAAAAAAGAAAAAAGAGAGAGAGAUAGGAUUAUAACUUAUACUCAAAAAUUAGUUUAAGAGUUGAGAAUCACUUCAAGUCCGUAUUAUAUUAUCAGCUAAUGUGAUAUAUUUUCAUCCGCAAAGGUGCUAAUCAGAACUGAACAUUGCUUGUUAAACCCAAUGAUUUUGUUAUAGAACGUUAAGAAGAAGUGACGGAAACUGGGUUUGAAACUGUAGUCGGUUUUUUUUUUUACUUUAAAAAUUUGGAAGUUUUUUGUACUGCAUGAUCAAUUGGAUAAUAAAUUAAUAAGCCAAAGAGUAUGGCAGCGGCUCUUAAAAUAACUUAAAAGUAAUUAUUCAAUACAACAUAAUGGUAACAUGCAAAAUAAGUGAGAGAUUAUAGAUAAUUAUAUUUGGAUUUGUUAGUAGUUACUUAUACUGUAACUUAGCAAGAACCAGAUGUGGUGAAGUCAAUACCAUGUAUCAUGCUCUUUGAUCUUCUAUCAAUUUCAUUGUCUACCGCAGAACAUACCUUGCAUAAUCCUUAUCUUUCUAAUAUCAUUGUUAUAGUUUCUUGCUUUCCAUAAUUCGAAUUACUUUCAUCUAAAUUCUCGGUGAAAUUGAGGAUUUACUGACUAGAUACGACAACACAUUAAUUUUCAAAUCUAACUUUAAUCAUGUCAUUCAUAAUUUUCAUUUUAAGAAACGAGAGGGUGUAUUUUAAGUUCAGUCAUAAUUUUUUGACCAAGGAAUGAAUAGUGUCUUGUAGGUAAACUGACCUCGUUUUAUACUAAAUGCAGUGUUCUUUUGUUUUUUUCCCCCCCAAAAGAACUUCGUCCAUUUGACGACUUUAAGAAAUAAAAUCAACAUUUUCAAUUACGUUGAUUUUUUUACUAGACUACGAUGAUUUAAUAACGAAUCUGACUUAAUAAUCAAUAGAGAUAAAUUAAUCUUACUGCAACCCCCUUGAAAUUGCAAGUCCACUCUCUCUCCGAAAAUAAUAUCAUCCAAAUAAGUCCUUCUAAGACCUAGAUGAAGAAUUUUGGCUAUCAAAAUUUUCACGCAUCACUAUCGGAUUCAACACAACUUUUAACAAUUCUCAUUGGGAUUUGAAACACUGAUUGGGCAGUUGGGCCUAGACAUAAUUUAAAUAACGCAAGCUUUUCAAACGCAGUAGAUCUAUUAGCACCCCUCCAUAUUCCUGAGAAAGCCUCCUUUGUUUUUAGUUAUGGUCAUGACCCUGCUACUCAAUUACAACCCUGGACGACUUUUUUUUUUUUCCUUUUAUCAUUGCUUUUUUAUUUGAUUUGGAAAUUUCUGAAAAAAAAAAAAGGAAAUUCCAUUGAAGUCGUGGAGUAUAAACAAAAUUCCAGCUUUGAAGAAGCCACCACUGUGAAAAUCGAAGGCCAAAAUUCUAACUUUAGUAGAGUAAAAGUUAAGAACGAAAAAUUUUAAUUCUAUAGAAGAAAGAGAUUUUAUGGUAAAUGCAAAGUUUACUAAUGAUGAGAUAGAGAGCAUUCCAAAUUAAAAGAACAAUGAGUUAUAAUUGCAUUCGUGUUUUUAGAAUACUAAUAAAAAAGUGAGAAUCACCAAUAGUUACUUGUGAAUUUGUAGAAUAAGUAUUUCUUUUGUAGAUAUAGUGAGAAAUACAAAUAAAGUAGGGUUGGCAAAAAAGCCCGGGCUUAGGCCCGGCCCUCACCCAUGAGGGCCUGGACAAGGGCCCAAGAAAAAAAGUCCGGACAAAGCCCAAGCCCACUACUUUUUAAAAAAAAUUAUAAAUUAGAAUAAUAUAAUUAAAAUUGAAAAGUACUUUAAAAAUAAAAAAGAAAACUUAAAUUCUUAACUUAUAAAUCAAUUAUGAUUCAAAAAAACUAAAAUUAUGAUACUAAAUUCUCUCUUUUGUGUCAAUUAAUUAAGAGAGCGUUUGAAUUAGAAAAUCCGGUAUUAAAGAAAAUUAAAGUUAUGAGUUUUUAUUUGCUUUAUUUAUUAUUUUAAUUUAAAAUAUUGAUUUUCUUUAAUUUAUCUAUUAUUAUAAUAACUUGUUGAUCAUUAAUUUAUUUCAAAUUUAUAAUAAUUUAAAUUUUUAAAUAAAUAACUAAAGCCCAAGCCCGGCCCAGGCCUGCAAUGUGCCCGGCCAGGCCAGGCCCAGGCCCAUACACUUAACUAACAGAGGGCCUGGACAUGGGCUUGAAAAAGCCCGGCCCAGGCCCGCUGUUUGCCAUCCCUAAAAUAAAGAGAGAUUAUCAGUUUCCUCUACUAAAAUUAAUAUUUAAAGAAUCUCCAAAAGACUCUAUUAAAUUUACUUUUCAAAUAUUUAUUUGCUUAUUUAUGUGGUAAAAAUGAGAGUAAAAAAAAAUAUUAUUAUCCAAAAGACUCUUCAAAUAGGAAUAAAUUAAUAUUAUUUUAAUCAAAUAAAUAUUUUUUCAAAGAAAAAUAAAUGUUAAUUAAAACACUUCUCUCUCUCUCUCCAAUAAAAAAUAAUAAAAUAUAAAUUGAAUUGAAAAGGGAUAAAGCAACUCUACAAAAUUAAAAAGAAGUAAUCAUUUUUUAUUUGAAAAAUCUUAAUCAUAGUGUUUUUUAGAGUUUCAAAUGCUGAUGUGACUAUUCAAAUAAGUAUUAAAAUCUUAUUUGAAGAGGUUUUUAAGAUGCUCUUCUUACUAGUUUUUUCAUACUAAAAUCAAUACAUACUACUUACCUCAUUAUUGUUUUCAUAAUAGCCAUAAACUCAUUGCCAUCAUAAUUUUAUAAUGUUGUCCUUAUUUUCAAAUACGCUAUUUAUUUAUAUUUAUUAUUAAUUAAAUAAAUCAUAUAAACAAAAAUUAAAUCUAUUUAUCUCUAUUUUUCUUUAAAUUUUUUAUGUUAUGAGAGUUAUUAGUCAUUAUGAAAACAGUAAGAAGGGUAAGUGAUAUAUAUUAAUCUUAGUAAAGGGAAACUAACAAUCUCUUUUUUUUUAAUAAUUUUAUUGGAAUGCAUUUGUUAUAAAAUUAACCGUUAGUAAAAACCAUCACCUAAAUUGUAGGAACAUUCAUGUUGAGUUAUCAAAAAUCAAUAAUAAAAUAUGUAGAAGCGUUCCUAAAUCAACAAUGCUUAAUUACUCUCUAGAACUGUAUGGUUUAUCUUCCAGAUCAAUAUAUUAUCCUAGAAAAUCCUUUAAGUUUCUCUAGGCACUCUAUUUGAUGACAAGAUGUCAAAAAAGAAUAGAAUAUUACGUGUGAUAUGGGAACCAAAAUCACUUAUACAAAUAACUUUCCCACUAUCUUUAUGUACUUCUAUUUUAGCCGAUCAUUGAAAUAAAAAUUACUCUUAAGUCUCUACUUAUUAAAGACUCAUACCUUAUCAAAUACAUUAAAGUACAAAUUAUCGAAAACCUUAAUAGUUCAAUUUUACUUGAGAUUAACCUUAUAAGACAAUAGGCAACAUAUAAUUAUUCAUAUAUAAACCUAAUGUUAGAUUAGAAAUCCAACAACAUUUUUGAAAAAAAUGGUUUUAUAAUGAUUGUGAAGGGUGCUAAUAGCCACUCUUUAAAUUAAGGAGGAUCAUCAAAUCACUCCUCUAAUUAACAAAAGUAACAAUUAGGCUCAUAAGUUAAUUUCCCAUUUGUCUCAAAUAUUUGUCAAUAAAUUUGCAUAAUAACUGUAAGAACAAAAUAAACCCUUAGAACUUACUAUUGUAACAAAACAAUUUAAUCUAAUAAAAAAUUUAAAUAAAAUACUGAAAAAGAUUUGAUAAAUUGAUGGUAUUGUCUUUAGACAUUUCAUUAUUUUGCUAAUGGUAUUGGAUGGGUACGAAAAAUUUAAAACAAGCAAUGAACUUGUAUACCUUUUUUUUUUUAAUAGGAAUUAAAACCUUCAUUCAUUUAGAGAUCAAAGAAGAUACAAAAUGUUCUCUGGGAAUGUUCCCAUCCAAACUGCAGGUUCGUCAUAAUCAAAGGCUGAUUUAGCUAAAAGGUGGGCAUGGGCAUUACAAGUCCUUGGGAUAUACUGAAUUCUAAUUUUACCCAACUCUUUAGCCAGAUCUUGGACCUCCGAUAUCACCCAGAAAACCUCAGUUCUACUGCCUGCCUUUCUGUUGAGAAGGUUUGAAACGGUUUGAGAGUCAAUUUCCACUAUAAUUGAAGACACCCCCAAAGUUUUCGCUGUCUACAACCUCCAUUCUACAGCCUCAGCCUCUGCAAAAGUUACAUCCCCAUGAAACUUUGAUGUCUUUACUGCAGCUGCUAUAAACUUUCCAGUUGAGUCUCUAGCAACAACUCCCAAACCUACUGAUUUCUUCUCCCUAUUUAUGGCUGCGUCCACAUUGAUCUUAAGCCAUCCUUGAAGAGGUGGAAUCCACUGCUGUUGUUGCUUCUAAACUAAGCUCAUGUGCAGGUGUGAUUCACUUGGAGAUUUGAUUCUUUUAUUGGAUUCUAUAACAGCCUCAACUUUUGCUAAAGAGAUCAGAGGAUCUACUUUCUUCCUUUCAAAAAGGAAAUUGUUUCUUGCAUGCCAGAUUGCCCAAAACACAACCACCAACAAUUCGAAUUCUGCAUGAUUCAAACAUUUCUGUCAUCUUUUGCAGCACAUCUACCAUGCUUUGUUCUGUAAGAGAAUAGACUUUAUCUAUAAAAUGGACCAUUCUCCAUAUCUUUCGAGCUGAAUUACAGUCCACUAAAGCACGAGAAAUGCUUUCCAUCUCCCUUUUACAGAGUUGGCAGAUAGGUUCUGGUAUCACUUUUCUCCUCCAUAGGAUUUCAGCUAAUAGUAACAAGUUUUGGACAUCUCUCCACAUAAAUAUUUUAAUUUUUUCAGGCAGGGUACUAGCCUAAAUAUUUUUCCAAAUUCCUGGCUUAUUUGCAAAGCAGCUGGGAAGUUCUUGAAACUUUAUCCUCUGAGCAAUCUUAUAUCCACUUUUGACUGAAUAAUUGCCUUUCUUAUCAUAAUACCAGAAUAUCUGAUUGAUCUUUAGUCUUUGUGGGAAAAGAAUGCUGACUAUUUGAUCUGCACAUUCCUUUCGAAAAUAAUGGUACACUUUAGUCAAAUUUCAGCUUUGAUUAUUAUUAAUCAGUUCAGAAACCACAACAUCAUAUGGAAGGGUUGGAAUAGAAAUUGGUCUGAACGUUGUUGGUCUUGGGAUCCAAUUGCAACUGUAAAUCUGCACCUUAUUUCCUGAACCGAUCCUCUAUCUAUAUCACUUCUGGAUUACAAGUCUCCCCCAUAGAAUACUUUUCCAGAUGUAAGAAGGAUUGGACCCCAGUUUUGCCUGCAAGAAAUCAGAAUUUCUAAAAUAUCUUGCUUGCAAAACUCGAGCCAUUAAAGAAUCUGGAAACUAAAGAAUCCUUCACCCUUGCUUAGCUACCAAUGCAUGAUUAAAACACGAGAAUUCUUUAAAACUCAUUCCUCAUCUGCAUUUUGCUUUGCUGAGCCUCUCCCACCUUACCCAAUGAAUGCCUUUUCCGAUCAUUCUUGGAUCCCUACCAAAGUUUAGGUAUAACUUUCUAGAUAUCAUCAUAAAGUCCUUGAGGAAUUUUGAAUACACUCAUGGCAUAAGUUGGAACCGCUUGGGCUAUGGCUUUUAUAAGGAUCUCCUUGUCACCUUUGGAGAAAUGCUUGUGCUGCCAACUUGAAACUUUGCUUAUCACCCUAAGCUUUAUGUCGUUGAAGAAGUUCAUUUUGUUUCUUCCGAUCAUGGAUGGUAGCCCAAGGUACUUCUCAUGUCUGGACACAACAUUCAGGUAAAAAAUUUCUUUAAUCGCAGCCACUCGGUCAGCCUUGGUAUUACCACUAAAAAACAUUAAAGAUUUGUCUAGGUUGAAUAACUGGCCAGAAGCAGUAGUGUAGCGAUCAAAGAUUGUUUUAAGAUGCUUGCAGUCAGCAACUGUUGCCUUUGUGAAGAUCAAGUUGUCGUCUGCGAACAACAGAUGGGAUACUAAGAUAUUGUUUCCAAACCUCAAUCCAUGUAUGAGGUUUUGAUUUUCAACCUACAUUAAUAAUCUGUAAAACACCUCAGCACACAAAAUAAAGAGAUAAGGGGACAAUGGGCAUCCUUGUCUAAGCCCUCGUUGCGGUUUUAUCUACCCUUUAGCAGCCUUAUUAAUAAGAACAGAGAAAGACGUGGUGGUGAUACAUCUCAUUAUUAGAUCAACCCAGCAUAAAACCAAGCCUAAUAUGAGCAUUGUAGCUUUUACAAAGGACCAUUCUACUCGAUCAUAAGCUUUACUUAUAUCUAAUUUUAGUGCCACAAAUCCAUUUUUCUUUCCCUUGCUAUGCCUAAUUUUGUAAAGACACUCAUAUCCAACGAUCACAUUAUCUGUUAUAAGCCUAUUGGGGAUAAAUACACUUUGGGAGGGGGAUAUAAUUUAGUGAAGAAUUUCCUUAAGUCUAUUUGCAAUGGUUUUUGCCACAAUUCUAUAAAUUACAUUACAAAGACUUAUAGAUUUGUACUCAGCCACUUUCUUUGGUUUCUCCACCUUAGGAAUAAGAGCAAUAUAUGUGUGAUUUAGUGAAUCAAUGUUACCUUGCUCGUUGAGAAUGUGGAGGCAUGUGUUGAUAACUCCUUCACGGACCAACUUCCAGUGCUUUUGAAAAAAGACUGCCGGCAGUCCAUCUGAGCUAGGGGCUUUGGUGGGACACAUCUGUGAUAAUGCUGUUGUUAUAUCCUCUUUAGUGAAAGGUUGUUAAAGUUUUUCAUUCAUCUCACCCAUGACCUUUGGAACCAGAUCAGCUAAUGCAACCUCAAUUUGAGCUUGCGAGGGAUUCGACGACUUAAAGAGCUUGUUAAAAAAACCACAAAAUUCCUUAUCUACUUAUCUUUCCUCCUUAGUCUAGUUGCCUCGUUCAGUUUCAAUUCCUUUAAUUUUUUUUUCCUUCUUCUUGAUGAUGCUUUUAAGUGGAAAAACUUAGUGUUUUUAUCUCCCUUCUUCAGUCAAUCCGCUCUCGAACUCUAUUUCCAAUAUAUCUCCUCAUCAUCCAAAAUUUUAUCAAUUUGCUUCUCAAUUUUUCUUAUCUCAGCUCCAUCUACAUAGGAUAUAAUACUCUGUCUAGCCCUUUGUAGCUCAUUUGUUAAUGACUUUAGCUGUUUUGUUCUCUCACCAAACUCUUCCCUGCUCCAAAUCUUCAGCUGAGCCAUUGUCAUCUUAGCUGAUUUUUUAAACAAUUGUACCGGGUUCACAUCAGUCCACACCCCUUGCAUACUCCACUCAUGCUUGAUUAUUUUCUUAUAGGCAUCAUACGAGCUCCACAUAUCCUCAUAGUGAAUUCUUUGCACGCUCUUUCUUCUACUGUUUACUUCAACACCCCUCUCCUCAACUUCCAUUAUCACUGGGCUAUGGUCUGAGCUCCGGGACUCUAAAUUAAUAGCUGCCAAAUCAUGGAAUCGGUUGCCCCACUCAGAGUUGCACAAAAACCUAUAUAAUCUCUCCUCUAUGAAGUUUGGCCCAUAUUUUCGGUUUGACCUUGUAAAAAUUCUUCCUUUGCACCCCAUGUCAGUUAAAACACAUUCUUGGAUUGCAUUUCUAAAUUCAAACAUCAUAUUUACAUCCCUAUUAUUCCCUCAUUUCUUCUCAUGCAAGUGCAAUAUUUCAUUAAAAUCACUGAAGCAUAGCCACGGUAAGGGAGAUAAGUUUGCUAACCGUUUCAUUAAUGUCCAUGUGUGCCUCUUUUGAGUUGUUUCUGGAUGCAUGUAUACCCUUGUGCAUCUCUAAUUUUUCCCUCCUUCAUUACAAAUCUCGGCAUCUAUAUGAUGUUGACUGUAAGAGGCUAUAUUUACAGCUAUAUCAGAACUCCAGAGCAUUGUUAAUCCCCCUCUUAACCGAUUCCUACCAACUGUAAAGCAAUUCUCAAAUUUCAGCUCAACACGAACAUCCAUUUGCAUAGGCCGCAUCUUAGUCUCACAUAAGAAAACAAUUUGUGGCUUAUAUGUUUGGAGAAUAUAUUUGAGUGACGUCUGGAUAUUCCCCAAACCCCAGACGUUCCAGCUGAGGAUUUUCAUGGCUGUCGGCGGGCUGACUACCAGCCUCCGCCGUUAAUUCAUUGAUAGUUGUCUCAGUCACCUCCAUUUAUUCCAUGUCUUGUGUUUCUAGACUGGAGCUAAGCUCUGUUAUGGAGCAAUUUUCAUUAUGCGUUGCUUCCAUCCUCAUCUAGUUGUCUAUUUUUUAUUUUUUAACUUUUGGACUUAACUUUCCCGCUUUUUGCAUGGGCAUUUUCUUGGCAAUUUAACCCAUUUUAUUUUCAUCUUUAGUGCAAUUAUCUAUUGUCAAAUGCUUCCAUCUCCUUGUUUUAGGCCUCUCCAUAAUUGUUCUCGUUUCCUCUUUUACCAAUUCCUUCAUUGAAGUUGCUUGGGCUUUGUUUACUAAGCCCAUUGAUCCCAACUUUUGGAUGUCUUCUGCAUUUCCACCUUCCCGCCAGUUUCCUCCCGCUUCUUUGUCCACAUUUCCCAACAUCUCUUUCUUUCCAGCUGUUGUGAUUUGAUCUUUACACCCAAGUGGCUGCUGCAUCGAUUUCUUCCCUUUUAAUGUUAAUUGUUUAUCCAAUUCCACUGCCACGUGGCUUUUGCUUAUUGGUACUGUCGACUCGCCCGUUUCAAUCUGGAUUGCUUCUGACCCGGUUUCUGUAGUUGAGAUGGGUUGCCUCUGUCUUUGGUUAUGGUUCCUCAGAUCAUCUUGUUGCCCAUUCUCAUUCAUCCUUGUAUUAUUGCUUUUGUUCCACCUAUAUUAGACUUGUUAUGGUUGAGACGUUCGAAUACUAUUACAGCCUUUAUCCAUGGACCAAAAGUAAAGUUUUCUUGUUUAUGAGUUUUGUACUUGACACAUUCUCUGAACUGAUGGCCGAUGAUUCCACAACAAAAGCAAGAGUCUGGUAAUCUCUCAUAUAUAACUCGCAUUGGGACUUUUUCUUCCCCCUCUGAUUCGAGAAAGAUAAUAUUCUUUAACGGUUUUGUAUCAUCCACUCUAAUUCAGACUCUAGCAAUCUCCCCAAUAUAUUCCCCAUCUUCGUUUGUCUCUACUUUCUCUACACUACCAAUAAUAAUUCCCAGUCUUGAAAUUGCUUCUAUAUUCAUGGCCAUAAUUGGUAUGUUAAGAAUCUGGACCCAAAAGGAAACGUGGGUGAAUGCUUGCUUUGUAAUGUUUGCUAUUCCUUCUGGCUCUGUAAGGACUAUCAAAGCUUUAUUAAAAUAAUAGGGCUUGCCGGCUAGCACUAUUCUUUUAUCAACUUCUAAAGUAAAUUUGAACAUGAACACAUUUUCUCCCAAACUCUCAACUCUCACCCCUAGUACUGUUCUCCACACUUGGUGAAUCACUGAUCUGAGCCCUUCAAUAUUGACUCCCCUUGUGGUUAGAAAUUUUCCAACUAAACAUCCUGCAAUAAUUUCUGCACCUUUUAUCUUCAUCUUGUUGACAAAAGACACUUUGUCUUCUUCUUCUCCUUCUAAAGAAAUGGCAAUACAUAGUGGUUCCCCAAGGAAUAAAUUCUCUCACCAACCCCUUUAGUGUUUUCUUAACUUUUUACACCCUCUGCUUAGCUUGAACUAAUCAACAAGAAACUUUAUAGAGAGCCUUUUACUUCUGACUUUCCAGAACACUAAAGAAACAUCCACUCACUCAGCUAGGGGUGACAGGAUUGAGUCACUCGGACCCCAUUACCCUUUCAUUCAAAGUUCUCUUUCUAGAGAAAGAGACUAUUGAAGAAAGACUAGUCAACGGUGUCUUUACAAACGUGUCAUUAUAGCUUGUAUACCUAUUUGUUACCUUCGUAAAUCAUGCGGUUGAAUUUUAUAUUUACUCCUUAAUGAUGUCCUUGAAUUAUGCUUAACGUAAAAAAUAGAGAAGCUAUUCAUUAUCAAUUAUCACUUGUCUCAUUCAUUACCUUUAUCAUCAUUUUUUCUGUUAAUUAUUAAAUAGGUAGUACAAUGCAAAUAAUGAUAAAUAUAGCACAAUAAUUUGGGUGGAACCUAAACCCAGUUCAAAUUCAUCAACAUGUUGUCAAUGCCUAAACAUCUGAAACCAAAUAAACAACAUAUGACUAAACUUUCACAUCUACAGAGAGACUUAAAUUUGUUGAUCUCAAUGAAGAGACUGUCAAUUGACCAACUAAAUCGAUUAAGAAAUUGUUAGCAUUAAUCAUCAUUUUAUUUUUAUUGGAUUUUCAAUAAUGUGUAGUUAUUAUGAAUUGGAAUUUUGAUGUCAGUCACAUGAACAAUUAGUAAAAUAGUUAUUAAAUUUUAAAUUAGUUAAAAAAACAAUAAAGGGCACACGCACACGCACACACACACGUGUAAAAGUAGUGGUUGAGCAUGACCAUAUGCAAGACAAAGAUCACACCAUGUGGAAGGAAUGUUUGCAUGCUAGAAAAACAUUGGCAGAAGUAUAUAACGUGGAGCCCAUAUAUAAUACUCAUAGUCAUUACCUACAAACUAUAUGACUCUUCAGAAGAUGAACCAUUAUUUAUGCAUAAGGAUGUACUGUGUGAUGUAACAUAAAGUAGUAGUGAGUUAUAAAGUAAUAUUCUUUAAGUGAUAAGAUGUAAUGAUGUAUUGUGUAUUUGGCCAGAUCACAUUACCAAAUCUUUAUAUAUAUAUAAGAUUUUAUCUCAAAAGAUAUGACAUAUAAUUUAUUUUUUUUAAAUAUCUGGUGUAAGAUUAUUACAUUAAUUAUAGAAAAUAAAGAUAGCACAUGAGACAUGGCAAGUUUUAAUUAUGGUGAUGUAUGCAAUCUUGUUAGUUUUAAUUAUGUUCGAAUUUUAUGAGACUUAUUAUAUUAUAAUAAGAACAUUUAUCUCUUAUUAAUAAGAACAAAUUUUCAGAGAUUGAUCCAAAAUUUAGAUUCUCUCGCUGCUAAAGUCCUAAAGGCGAAGUAUUUUAAAAAUGAUGAUUUCCUGAGUGCUUCAAUGGGCUCAAAUUCAUCUUAUGUAUGAAGAAGUAUAUUGUGGGGACGACAAGUGAUUCUCAAGGGCUAUAGAUGGAGAAUUGGCCCGGGGGGGUGGGGGUGGGGAAUAUUUCAGUGUAUAUAGGAAAUUGGAUUCCAAGACCAUCCAACUUCACAGUCUAAAAAUGGCUCUUGAUGCUACUGUAUCAGUGUUGAUAGAUAAUGACAACAAGUGGAAGAUUAAUUUGAUUCAAUUCUAAAUACUUUUAUUAGAAAUAUCGAUUAAGUAUCUCUAUUUAUUUCAUUUAUCUCAUUGUUGAUAUAAAAGUAAUUUUUUAUUAUUAUAGGAUUAUGAAGAAUGACAAAGAUAAUUAUUAUGGUGAUUUGUACUUUGUAAUGUGACUUUUGUAAUGGAUUAAUGUUAAUGUAAGAUAUAUUGUAAAAAAAAAAUUUAUUUUUUACUUUAAUAUGAUUAAAUUAAAAUAAAAAACUAAAAACGUAUCAAUUAUUCGGGGAUCAGGUAUUCUUGUGGAUCCCCUAUUAUUAUUCGGGGAGGGGACGAGGAUUCCCUAAAGCAAUUUUGUCAGAAAUAAGGAGGAGAUGAAGAUAUAUGCAGAAUAUUAGGGAUGGGUACGGGCAGGUCGGUCUCCUCCCUUCCCCUUCCCCUUCCCAUUGCCAUCUCUAAUUCUAAAUGAAGAUGCAAAUGCAAUUUUAAGUAUUCCACUAUUGUGAAAGGGACUCACACAAGCAGUUGCAAAUUAAGUAGAAACAAAACUUUUUCCUUCUUUGUGUAAUUAAAAUCGGAUGUUUACCACAAAUAAAUAGGUAGAAAAAUAAACUAAAACAAUCCAAAACAAAAAUCAACCAUAAAAGAUACAGAUUUUACGUGGAAAACACAAAGUGAGAAAAAUCACGAGACUAUAGUUCAAUAUAAUCUUCCAUUAGAUUAAUGAGAUUACAAUACAAAUUCUUAUCUAGAUAAUACUAAAGGUUAACAAUAUAAAAAGUCUCAAUAUUCUUGACUUACAAUAACAGUCUAAUAUAUGUUUCUCUUAUAAAUGAAUAUAUCAAAUAAUAGCUAACAAAAUAAUAAAAUAAAAAUUUAGACAAGUAGAAUUAUAGAAGAUGAUGUUAGAAAUUUAUUCUCAAAAUUUAAAAAAAAAUUAAAAUUAAAAUUACCUUUCGAUCGUUUAAAAUCACUGUUUUUAAAACAAAAGCCGUGUUCUUUCACUCUCCCUCGCCUUUUUCGAUUACGUAAUUAGGGCUGCCGCAUGCUUUUGUUCUUUAUAUAGCCAACGUCCUUUUCAAAGUCAAAUUUUAUGGUAAUUUUCACAUAACUCUAACUUAUUUUUUUAAUUGUUUAAAUAUCCAAAUUAAUGAAACCUGGACUUUAACCAUCCAAAUGAAAUGGAUUCUGACACUAUCACAAAAAAGGGAAGUACUAAGUUAAGAAUGGAUACCAAGUGGUAGGGGUGGGCAUUUUACCCGAUCCGACCCGACCCGACCCGAUAAAUUUCGGGUUCGGGUCGGAUCGGGUCGGGAUCGAAACCCGAUCGAUUUGAAAUUUACAAACUCGAUCGGGUUGUGAUCGGUUCGGGUCAAAUUCGACCCGAAUACCCGAUCGGGUUCUUAAAAAAAAAAAAAAACAUACUGACCCGAAUUGACCUGAUUUCAACCGACCCGAACUGACCCGAACUAACCCAAAUUGACCCGAACUCAAUCCUACCCAUUUUAAAUCCAACCCGAUCCAACCCGAACAUAACCCGAAUUAAUGACCCGACCCGAACUAUGUUCGGGUCGAUUCGGAUCGGGUCAUUAAUUCGGGUUAUGUUCGGAUUGUUCCUUGUCUAACCCGAACAACCCAAAACCCGAUCGGGUUAACCCGAACCCGAUUUUACCCACCCCUACCAAGUGGCUUUAAACAUGAAAUUUUUGGAUUCACCUACAUGCUCUAACAGUAAAAGUAGCAAUUGGAGCAUUAUAUGGAUGCUUACCCUCCCAGAAAAGGAUCAAGAUUCAAUUGGAGCAUUAUAUGGAUGCUUACCCUCCUGGAAAAGGAUCAAGAUUUUCACCUGAGAAGCAGCAAAAAACUUACUACCACAACUGAAAAUUUGUGGAAGCGUAGAAUUAUCUAGCUCAUUACCAGCGCUGUGGGAAUAGACUGGAAAACACUUUGCAUGCUUCGGAUACUUGCUAAGCAGCAAAGAAAAUCUGGCAACUCUCACCUAUGGCAAGUGCAAUUCAAGAGAUGGGAAAUGCAGACCUUCUUGGGGACUUGAUGAUAUUGCAGAAGAAAUUAAGUAAAGUUGAUUUAGAGCUUCUGGUGACAAUUUUUUUGGGUGAUUUGGCAUGCUAAAAACAAAUUUGUUUUCAAAGGAUUGAAGUUAGAUCCAAGUCUAUCAAUGGCCAAAGCUCAAGCAAUUAAUGAGGCUUUUAGAAGACCCCAAUUUGCAGAGAUGCUGAAAGAGAAGAAAUUGCAGAAGAAGAAUAAAAAAGUAUGGGCUCCACCACCCCAAGGAUGGCUAAAAAUCAACGUUGAAACAUCUACUGAUACAAAAAGAUAAUGCCCUCGAUUAGGAGCAAUAAUCAGAGAUUCCACAGGGAAGUGCAUAGCAGCAGCCAUAAGAACCUCGAAGUUUAGGGGAGAUGUAUCUUAUGUGGAAGCAGAAGCAGCUGAGUGAGGUAUCCAUAUUGCAAAGGAAGUAAGGUCUGCAAUCAGUUAUUUUGGAAACUAAUUCUCAAGAGGUAGCAAACUUGAUAAAUAAUAGAGGAUGUAAGAUAACAUAGAUCUACUGGAUUAUUUCAGAAAUUCAAGCUCUAAAGAAGAAUUUCAGAUCUUGUGAAGCUAAGUAUGUACCUAGAUCGUGUAACGCUUGUGCCCAUUUUUUUAACUAGGAGACCAAUAGAAAAAGCUGAAUCAGUUGUUUGGUUGGGAAAUUUUUCUCCCGAAAUUAUGACUUUCCCUUUAAAAAAAUAAAAUAAAAUAAAUUUUCGGGAAAUGUAUGUCUCGAAUCGUAAAUGACUUAAAUGAAUCUGGGCAGAUACAUGAGUUUGACUGUCCAAUACCAAUGAAUCUUUGUCGAUGAAUCCGAGCCGUCCACGUCGGGUGGGCCCCACAUUGUUACCAAGUGUAUUUAUUCAUCCAUUCCUCCUCAACACAUUCGGAGGCAAAGGCUCAAAGUGCGCGCGUCUCUUCUCUCCAUUCCCUCCAAACACAACACGACCUCAUAUUCUCUUUCAUUCGCCAACCCCCACCCCCACCACCACCACCCGGAACGACGCCGCAUAAUCCAACCAACAAAACCGACCGAACCAGCCAUCAUUACAAAGGUUAGCUUCGUUUCUCAACUUUCCAACUUUAUUAUUAUCUCUUACUUCGCUUAUAAUAUUAUAUGAAUUUUACAAUUUAAAUCUUUGCUAAUUGCAGAAGCAAGAAGAAGCAAAGUGAAUAUGGCUUUGUGUUCAUCAUCAACCUCCCCUGAGCUUAAAUGUUGUUGCUUUGACAAUUUGAGAGGUAAAAAUCCGAGCUUUAAUGAGCCAAACCAAUUUCUAAGGAUUGGUGAUUGCUAUUCAAACAAGGGUCGUGUUCAAGUUCAAGCAUCAAGCCAGCUAAGUGGGCACUUAGAAGGAUCCUUUAUGGAAAAGAAACGCCUCCAGGAACCACUUUCUCACAGGAAGCUUGAAUUUGUGAGAACAUUGUUGAUUGAUAACUACGACAGCUACACUUACAAUAUCUAUCAGGAGCUCAGUACCAUUAAUGGCGGUAAGUUUCUUCUUCUUCUUCUUCUUUUCAAUUUUUUCCCUUUGAAAACCCAGAUGCAAUUCUUUUUUCUUGAAAUUUUCAAAAGAAUUUUUGUGGACACAAUAUGCUGUCUUGUAAACGUGUAUCGGGUUGUGUUUUCGCUUGAUUUUUGAAGUUUUGCAAAUACUGCGGCUAAAGUGUUUGAAAAAAAAAAACAAAAAAAAUCACUUUACAGUUGGCGGCUAACGUGUACCAACCACUCGUUCACCUACCCAUUUAUAUUUGGUAUCCAAAACCUUCAAGGUGUUUGAUAUAUUUCAAAAUGUUCGUUAAAUGUGGUAGGUCCUAUUUCUUUGCCUCUCAUAUGUUGGUUACUAGCAUAAAUCAAGGCUCUGUUGCGUGUCAUAUUGGAAAAUGUUUUAAGUACUAGAAGAUAGAUAACCGUGACUUAUGUGUCUCCUUGUUUGUUUUAAUGCUCUGUUGACUUAUAACUGUUCAGGGAGUAAUGAGUUUACUGUUUUCCUUCUUUUAGCAUUAUCUUGAAGUCAGAUUAGUUUCCAAAAGCAAUUCUGUUUGGCCACCAGAUUAGAUUCUUGGCAGCUAACAUCGUCAUUAUGGUCAAGUCAGUGAGAUUAUGUCUUUCCUGUUUGGUAUCAUUUUUUAAGCUGGGUUCUAUUCAAAGAAUCAUUUUGUUGGGUCCGCUAGAAAAAUGGUGACAACUCUCACAGGAAAGAUGGUUGUUCAUUGAUUGAUUUGUUCAAUCUUUGUGAUCAUAAAUGUUAAUACAAGCCAAAAUGAUCAUUGUUUUGACACCUUUAUGUUGGGUUACUGUUCCAGUGCCCCCUGUUGUGGUGCGCAAUGAUGAGUGGACAUGGAGAGACAUUUGUCGAUACUUGUAUGAAGAGAAUGCAUUUGACAAUAUUGUAAUAUCCCCUGGACCUGGUUCGCCCGCAUGUCCAGAAGAUAUAGGUGAGAAAGCAAUAAUUGCUUGAUAUAUAUGUUGCUUUAUUUUUUUCUCUUUACAGCUGCUCCAGAUAUAUAGUCUAGAAAGUACAGGCUGGAUGUCUACAGGGCUUUUGCAAUCUUGAGGGGUGGAAUCUCCCAUCAUAAGUCACAACCAAAAUGAUUGCUAUUGCGUCCACAUAUAUCUAAUUGUUGCCACAUCCUGCAUAGAGUGGUAUACUACAAUUUGAUUGUUCAUACAACAACUUGAAUGUAAUUGGGAUAAUCUUGCCAGAUCAACAGAGAAAUUUUUAUCUAUUCAGACUUCUGCUUAAUUUCUGUCUACAUAAGUCUGCUUCUUAUUUUUUAAAUUUGAAAAAAUCAUGUUAAAUUUUUUUUACAGGAAUAUGUCUACGUGUGCUGCUUGAGUGCUGGGAUGUGCCUAUUUUGGGCGUUUGCUUGGGACACCAGGUAUCUCAUUUUUAAUAUUUUAUUUUUUCUUUCGUCGCUUUGGGUAUGUGUGUGUUUAUAUUAAUCUGAUACCCUGUUAUCACUAUUUCAAUUCAUCAGUUGGUAAGCAUGGGUUUGUAUGUUCACAUAUUGAUUUGUAUUUUGUUUAAUUGUUCUUUAGUGCUUUAACCUGGCUGUUGCCUCCUUUGAAUCUAUAAUAUGUUUGUUUACUUUUCCCAUUUAAGGUUUCAUGUUAUAAUCUUGGUGGGAAUUUUGUGUUCCCUCUGAGAGCUGAAGUGUAGAAUUUGUCAAACAUGGUGCUUUAUGAAUAUUGAACAACCUUUACCAUUCUAAUCAAUUUCCUAAAAUUUCCUAAUCUCCAUGGUUUUAAUAAAUUAUAGAUGAUGAUGUGAGUACUGACAAUUUUGCAGGCUUUAGGCUAUGUGCAUGGUGCUGACAUUGUCCAUGCACCUGAACCUGUUCAUGGACGCUUGAGGUAUGUUCAAAAAACAUGUUCUAUUAGUGAUAACCAUGAAUAUAUAGUUUUGGUUGAUACUGAAUCUCAUCUGUCUGACUUCAGUUAACAUUGAUAACAAAUCUACAUUUUUUUAUUUCCUGAUAAAGAAUGCUUGCUGGUGUGUACUCCUAUUUCCUUCAUUAACCUAUUUGUUGUCUUGGACAGCGAAAUUGAGCAUAAUGGGGACAGACUGUUUCAUGAUAUUCCUUCUGGCCAGAAUUCAGGAUUCAAGGUGAGUUUGUCAUCUUGUCUUUUGAACAAGUUUGAAUUACCUGUUGUCUCUUUGUAUGCUAUAACAACUACUAUUUGAUUAGUCAUUUGGUUAUUGGCGAAGUAUUAGCAUGAGAAAGUGGUGCUUUCAUUCAUGGAUUCUCAGAUUAAUACUUCUAGCAUUAUUCUCCUAUAUCACAUGCAGACAUUCUGAAAAUACUGCAAGAUUUCAAAUUUCUUCAUGUUCAUGAUUCUACUCUUCAAUCUUAUUACAUUGCAGAACAAGUUGCAAUUUGCAACUUUUGAAGCAUGCUGAAGCCAAAGUUUUACGUAUUAGAAAUGUUUUCUGAUCAUACAGAAUUGUGUGAAUACUCUGCAUAUAUGGCAACUUUGAUUUGAAAAUCCAGUGAACCAGAGUUAAAAUUAUUAAAGGCCUUCUCGUAUGUGAUUUAUCUUUCUAUGCAAUUGAAGUAUCAUCUUAGCUUCACUAUGGGUGUCAGUCACUAAGGAUUCCAGGACACUUCGUUUUUCUUCAUACAUCUUAACUGGAGGGGAGUUUUAGAAUAUAUUCUGCUCAUUUCUGUAUAGGGUUAGGUAGUCUCUUUUGGGUUAAGUCACACUUUUGGGGAUUGAUACAGUUCUGUAUAGCUUUGAUUGAUUUUGCAUGGAUAACUGGUCCAGUACUAAAGUGCUUUUGUCCAUUAUUUAGUGAUCCAAAUACUCAUAAUUUCUUAUUAAAAAAAAAAGAGUAUCAUCUUAGAAGAGUAAGCCACUGUUGAUCCAAAGGGUGUAUGGGCAUUGCUUUUGCGCUCAUUUAUUUAUUAUUUAAUGCAGGUCGUUCGAUACCAUUCACUUAUAAUAGAUGCAGAUUCCCUGCCCAAGGAACUCAUACCUAUAGCUUGGUCCAAUUCCGCAGACGGGUUUUCUUAUCUUGGGACCCUGCAGUCUGGUGAAAUCCCAGAUGCUUAUGAAAGUCAGAGUAGGCAAAAAAUCCUUCUCAGUGAUAUUUCAACCCAGAUAAAAAAUGGAAGUUAUCGGCAUUCAAUCUACUCUAAUAGAAUGCGCAGAGAAGUUCUCAUGGGUAUCAUGCAUUCUACCAGGCCUCACUACGGUGUGCAGGUGCAAGUGUAUUUGUAUUACCUCAUAUCUGAUUUUUGAUUUUUUGACUUUUACUCUUUUAUUUAUGUUCCACUUUCUUGACUUUCUUCCACGAUUCAGUUUCAUCCAGAGAGCAUUGCUACCUGUUACGGGAGCAAGAUAUUAAGAAAUUUCAGAGAGAUAACAGAAGAUUAUUGGAAGAGAUUGAGAUCACCAUUUGUUAAGGAGAGAAAUGUUCAUUAUACUGGUAAACAGGAGCUCUUUAAAAUUAUGAAUGAACUGCUGUUCUUGUUUGCUAAACCUGAGUUUUAUUUACUCCACUCUCCCUUUUCUUUUUAUACAUACAUAAACAUGCAUUUCCAUGCAUGUAUUUAAGGAAUCUACUUCUUGUUGGCUACUUCAUAUGCUGAGUAGAUGCCUAUGUUAAUUCACUUUUUACGAGGAAUACCUGUGAUUUUCUCUGGGCAGUGAACCGUUUAUAGAUGCAUGCAGGUGCUGAAAGCCUACUUCUCAGAGAAAUUACUAGAACUAGCCGAUCAGUGAAUAACUCUGAUGAACUUGGUAGAGAAGCUCUUAGACCUAGGCAAUUAUUUUGUGAUUUGGGUGAUAGAAGGUUCGGAAUUCAACAUUCAAGAAGGUUUGAAAUUCAACGUUCAAGCAUUGGAGUAAAGUGUUUAAAGUUGACAUGGAGGAAAUUUGAUCACUUGGCAAGUACAGUUGGAGGGGCAAGAAAUAUUUUCUGUGAACUAUUUGGGAAUAACAAGGCUGAAAACACAUUUUGGUUGGACAGUUCCUCGACAGAGAAGGUUGGUUUUCUGCAUAAUGACUUCUGUUACUGAUGAUGUAUUAACAUAUAAAAUAUCUUUUAUUUUGUUGGAGGUACUGUAACUUAUGUUGAAUCAACUUCAGUUGAUUGGAAAUUUUAUAUUUCUUAGUUUUCUCUUCUAUGAUCAGGGAAGAGCACGUUUUUCUUUUAUGGGGGGUAAAGGCGGAUCUCUUUGGAAGCAAGUGACGUUUAGAUUGUCUGAUCAAAGGUUUGAAUAAGCACUAGCCUUGUGAAUUAGUGCUGAAAUUUUAAAAUUUCUUUUGUUGAUUGUGUUUAGAAUGUAAUAUCUGUGUUUUUUUAGGUUUUCAUUGUUAACCAUGUACCUGGUUAUCCAUUGAACGUUAAGUUGAACAACUAAUUGCAAAGUUUCCAUAUAUUAAGAUUAUCAUAUACAAUUUGCAGAAAUGAUAUAUGAGACAUAAUUGUUUCAGUGAUGUGAAAUUUACCUCUGGAGGACAUUUAUUGAUUGAAGAUGCUGAAGGCUCUAUUGAAAGAGCAUAUCUGGAAGAAGGAUUUUUUGAUUUUUUGGAUAAGGUAUUCAAUGUAUAUUACUAUAUUCUAUCCAUAAGAAUUCUUUCUCCUAUAUACAUACAAUAAUUUAAUAAUGUUUAUACCAAAAUUAAGUCUGUUACUUAAUUCAUUGAUAUGUCUCUCAUUAUUUGAUCUCUGUAACAGGAGCUUCUUUCAUUCCAUCAUGAGAAAAAAGAUUAUGAAGGAUUGCCAUUUGACUUUUACGGUGGAUAUAUUGGUUAUAUAGGGUAUGUGGUAAAUUUUAUUCAACAAGACAUUCAUCAAUCCUUUUUUUUUUUUUUUUAUCUCUUACAGUUCUUCACUAAACUAAUAUGAUUCAGGGCAUAUUUUUCAUAUUGUUUUAUAUUAUGUGGAGUAAUUAUCCAAUUGUUGAUGAUGUUUAAUUAAAGCACCAUGUUAGAAGUGUUUUCAAGUUUUGUGCGUGUCAUUAAAUUUCUCUUCUUUAAUUUCUUUACAACUGUGUAGCCUGCCUGAUUAGCACCAUAAUCAUUCUCUUCAGAUACGUGAAAUUCUGACUUCAGUGUUCUUAAUCUACCCGGAUGUAAAUAUAAAUACAUUUAUAUUUUCCAUAAGAUUGUAACUUUGAGGUCGUAAACUGUGCUCAUGAAUCUCUUUUCAUUUCUUGAUUUGAAGUGGGGAAACCCAAGUUCAAGAUAUUGGAUAUCAUCAAACAAACAGAUUACCGGAGGCAGUAUUUUUGCUAAAAUUUAAUCUUUAUGUUUUGACGGAUCUUAGUAUCACUUAUCUUACUCCAAAUAAGAGGUUAAACUCCAUAAUGUUCUACUUUCUUUCUGAUAGGAUCUGAUAUUGAUUUUCUUGUAAUGCAGAUAUAACCUUAAAGUUGAAUGUGGUGCGGCAUCUAACCAUCACAAAUCCAGGACUCCUGAUGCUUGCUUCUUCUUUGCCGAUAAUGUUGUAGUUAUAGAUCAUCUUUAUGAUGAUGUUUAUAUAUUGUUGCUAAAUGAAGAAAACACACCAAUGUCCACAUGGUUGGAUGCUACAGAACAGAAGCUUAUUGGCUUAAGAGCUUCUUCAACAAGGCAGUUGGAGGAGCAGAAUUUACAUGCUCCAACAGUUUCUCGAAAUAAAUCAGCCUUUAUUUCUGAGGUAUCAAGAGGGGACUACGUAAACAAUGUUGAGAACUGUCUGAAAUACAUAAAAGAUGGAGAAAGCUAUGAGUUAUGUCUUACAACCCAGCUACGAAAAAGAAUUGGGGAAAUAGAUUCUUUGGGGCUUUACCUUCACCUUAGAGAAAAAAAUCCAGCACCAUAUGCUGCCUGGCUUAGUUUUUCUAAGGAGGAUUUAUGCAUUUGUUGUUCUUCUCCUGAGAGGUUUCUACGAUUGGAUAAGAAUGACUUAUUAGAAGCAAAACCCAUCAAGGGUACCAUAGCUCGUGGAUCCACACCAGAAGAAGAUGAACAGCUCAAAUUGCAACUGCAGUAUAGGUAAUAACAAUUUGCUAUUCGAGCAGUCUCGAAAAAUACCACUGCACUUUGUUCCCUUUGGCUUAUAAUUGCAUUUUCUUGAUUAGCUAGGGUAGUGUCUCAUCGAGUAAAGCAUAUCUCUCCUCUAGGCAUCAAUCCUGCGCAGCUUGCAGAAAAAUUUGGAUUUUUCAUCUCUCAUCUUGAUUCUGUGAACUAACACAUCCUCUUUUUCUCGUCCCUUCUUUCUGUUGACAGUGAAAAGGAUCAGGCUGAAAAUUUGAUGAUAGUGGAUCUUCUAAGGAAUGACCUUGGUCGUGUCUGUGAGCCGGGAUCUGUACAUGUCCCAAAUCUCAUGAAUGUGGAAUCAUAUGCAACAGUUCACACCAUGGUGAGUACAAUCUGUGGGAAAAAGCAUUCAAAUGUUAGUGCAGUUAAUUGUGUCAGAGCAGCAUUCCCAGGUGGUUCAAUGACUGGUGCACCAAAGUUGAGGUCGAUGGAAAUUCUUGAGUCUAUUGAGAGUUGUUCUCGGGGUAUCUACUCUGGCUCAAUUGGGUAUUUCUCAUAUAAUCGAACAUUUGAUCUAAACAUAGUCAUAAGAACAGUUGUCAUACAUGAGGGUGAAGCUUCCAUAGGAGCAGGAGGAGCUAUUGUUGCCUUAUCAAAUCCUGAAGAUGAAUAUGAAGAAAUGAUUUUGAAAUCAAGUGCUCCAGCAAAGGCUGUGAUGUACUUUGAUUAGCGAUUAUUCUGAAUCCAGAGGAUUGUUACUUUCAUCAUUGUUCGUUUGGGGCUGCAGAGAACUCUAGCUGAAAAUAUAGUGUAGCUCAAUUCAUUAUUGGUUUGGUGGUUUGUUUCUCCAAAACAAUAAACAUUGUUUUCCAAGCAAUGCAAAAUGGUUCAAUUCUUUACUUUCAAUGGAAUGGAAAUGCUAUACACAGUUGAUUUCCUUGGGUGACCUCUACCUUGGUAACCUUAGAGCACAUGAUGGUUUUUUCUUCUUUCAUUUCUCUCUUUUAAAAAAAAAAUCCAAAAUACCAUUCUCUUUAUUUUAAACAACAAAUUGCUAUAGAUCUACGGGUAGAGACACCAAUCUAGGAGAGUAAUUUUAAAGGCCAUUUAAUUAUUAAAAAAAAAAUUUCUUUGAUGACCUGAGUGAAGUACAGAAACUCUGUCAGUACGAAGGCCUGUGCGCUGUAUCUGAAGUCAUAAACUAAAACAUGUAGAGUCACCAAUAAUCCCCACAAGAACAAACACCAUCCUUAAAAUGGUGAAACCGAUGCAUGUCCCUUACAACAAUGAGCCGAUUCUCAAUCUUUGAAAUCAACUUAAUUGCAUUAUGACAGUCUCCACAUAUCCUGAGAUUCUUGGUGAUGCGAAUGGUAGUACCUGGAGCAGUUUUGAUGAGACCAAAAGCAAUGGCCAGCCUCUCACUGUGGUAAGAAAGUGCCUCUUCUUUUGCCUCCUCUUCAAUAUCAUGAAGCACAAAAUCUGUCAUAGGAAUAUAACCUAAUUGUUUCAUCGGAGCAGAUAAUUCUUGAAGUGCAGAAUAAAUCUUCUCAGAUUCAGAAUGAGACCUGUCUCCUACCCCAAACUUAUAAACUACAUUGUUAAACUCAAUUAAACUAAAACCCUGCUCUUUAGUAGCUCCUCUUCUACCCAUCAUCAACCUCACCUUUUCUACUUCUUUCCAUCUAGAUUUAGCAGCAUAGAUAUUUGAUAGUAAUACAUGGUAGCCUGAAUUAAAGGGGUCCAGCUGAAAAAUACGAUCAGCAAUUUUCUCUGCUAAAUCUAAAUUACCAUAAAUUCUGCAUGCACCAAGCAAAGAUCCCCAUAGACUUGCAUCAGGUUCCAUUGGCAUAUUCUCUAUAAGUUUCUCUGCUUCAGAAAGUUGUCCAGCGCGGCCAAGAAGAUCUACCAUACAUGAGUAGUUGUUGAGUUUUGGUACAAUUCCAAAACCCUUCAUCGCUUCAAAAUACCUCUUACCCUCUUCCAAUAACCCAGAGUGACUACAGGCUGAUAGAAUACAAGUAAAUGUUAUAUAAUUUGGCCUCACCCCAGCUUUUACCAUGUUAUCGAAGAGAUCAAUUGCCCUCCGUCCUUGUCCAUGAAAUCCACAGCUAGCGAUCAUUGCACUCCAACAAACAACGUCUUUCCCUUCUGUUUGAUCAAAUAAUUUAUGCGCCAAAUCCAAACUACCACACUUGGCAUACAUAUCCAUUACAGCAGUUGCAACCAGAACAUCAGACUCAAAACCAGUGUGAAUCACAUAACUGUGAAACCACUCACCUUUCCUUGAAGCCCCAAGAUUGCCACAUGCCAAAAGUACACUCAAGACGCUGACCCUAUUUGGCUUUACUCCUAAAUCACGCAUCAAAUCAAAAAAACUCAAUGUUUCACUAUUAUAUCCAUUCUGGGCAUACCCAGAAAUCAUCGAAGUCCACGAAACCAAGUCCCUCACAGACAUUUUAUCAAACACAGCACGUGCAUCCUCGACAUUGCCACAUUUUGCAUACAUAUUUACUAAAGCAGCAUUAACAAAAACAUCAGAAUCACAACCACAACACACCAAAUGCUGGUGAACUAACUUGCCUAUCUGCAAGUUAGACAAGCCUGCGCAUGAUUUUAGCGCGAAAGGGAAGGCAAACUUGUCAGGCUUGAAACCAUUUUGCAUCAUUUUGGCAUACAGAGCCAAAGAUUGGCUGAAUUUGCCUUGAGUGGCAUAUUCUCUAAUCAAAAUAUUCCAAAGAUAGCUGCAUGGGUUUGAUAUAUAUUCAAAAACAAGCCUUGCAGUAUCUAACUUAUUGAAUUGAACAUAAAAAAUAGCUAUUUGGUUUAGUAUAUUAUUGUCAUUUUGGAGUCCACAAACAAAAUUUUUUGCAUGGGACUUCUUUACAGUGUUUAAGCUAGAGCAUUUCUGCAAACAAGAGGUAAGGACUAAUUUACUCAUGUGUUUACUUCGAAUGCGAGCCACGGCAGCACAUUGAUGAGCUACAACAAUGGUUAAGAUCCUAACAUGGAUAGGGCUAAUUUGUGAUGCUUCAAAAGACAGUCAAAUGAGCCUGUAACCAUCUCCUACAAAAAUUAAAAAAGAUUGCACAAAGAUUUGAUGGGGGCAUUUCCAGAGAAACACCCCUCCAAAAAUAGGCGUAUGCCGCUUUAAAGCGGCGAGCACACGGUAUUCUUUAGUAAAAGGCGAAAGAAUAGUUCGCUCUGUGCUCACCGCACGGCUCCGUGAAGCCAAAAGUAGGAGGAGCGUCUCAUUUUGUGUGUGGGAGGUGAUUACUACUAGCUUACUCGCUUUCGAUGUGGGAUUCACCAUGCCUUUUUCCGGUCAUUUUCUUUUCAAAAUUUUUGUGCUCUUUCCAACUCUAUACGUCAGACUUAAUUAAUAUCAUUGACACAGGGAGGAUUUAUUUACUUCUUUACUAGUGUAAUUACAAUAACUAGCUACCAAGAACUCCAAGUUCGAUCGAUCAUUCAUUGAAAAUGCAGCAUAUAGCUAAAAAUGGCUUUUAACAGUGUCAAAAUGUUUCUAAAACACAUUGCGAAGGCAUUCAUUAUCAAAGUUUUGGUGACAAAGACAUUAGAUAUUGUUAACUCUGUUUUCCUCUAUUCUACCUAAACAAAUGCAUCUAACUUUUGAAACUGUAGCAUGUACUAAAUAGGUUGUAUCAUAGUGAGAAGAAGCAGGCAAAGAGUACAAACAUGUAAUAUCCCACACCAACUUCGCAGCCACAGCAGAAACCGACAGCAGGUAGAUUUUGGCAAAAACCUUACCUUUGAAGAGAACCAACAAAAAAUUGAGAUCACAAAGUUAAAUUUAAAAUUCGAUAAUGGCAUAAACAAAAUGACUUUACAGUUUGAUAUCAGAAAACAUGCAUUGAGCAAUUCUUUAGUCCAUUAAUUAUUAUACUUAAGGAAAAAAUUUCAUCAAAUUUCUGCCUCAACAGAAAUAAAAUAAACAGUUCGAAUUAUUGGAAAUUCUCAUUCAUAUUCGCGACAUUUGUAAGUUCAGAAUUUGAGAAGAAGAAAACUAAACCCGCCAUUCAGCUCAUCAAUUCAACCCAACGACUCUAGAUUAGUGAUUGAUAUAUAUUUGCUUGAGUUCUUUUGCCAAAGCAAUCAUUGUUUUGGCCUUUCUUCCAUUGUUCCAAAGAUCCAAGAAAAGUUAGCUCCGUAAAAGUCUUGGGAGUCUUAAAAAAUUUUAAAUUUUUCUUUAAACUUACCUUAGGAAACCAUCUCAGCAUCCCAAAUGUUUUCAGUUAGUUUUGAUGGGGGCAAUUCCGAAGAAACACCCCUCCAAAAAUAGGCGUAUGCCGCUUUAAGCGGCGAGCACACGGUAUUCUUUAGUAAAAGGCGAAAGAAUAGUUCGCUCUGUGCUCACCGCACGGCUCCGUGAAUUUAAAGGGCGAAGAAGCAUUUCAUUUUGUAAGGGGGAGCUACUAACCGCAAGCUCUCUCGCUUUCGAUGUGGGAUUUGAUACUCCUCCUUGCCAUCCACUUUCUUUGAAUUUUUGUGAUUUUUCCAGUUUUAUUCAUUAGGUUUAAUACCCUUGACAAUUGACAACAGAAGGAUCUGCACUUCGUACUUCUUUGUUAGAAUAGAAACAAUUAUUAGCAAUACAACUCCAAGUUAGAUAAUUCGUUGACGAACUUAACUGAAUUCACUGCUUUUCUCAAGAGAAAAAUAUUGUCGUCACAUACUGCUUUCCAUUAUCUGAAAUCACUUCAGAGUUUAGACGGUGUCAAAAUACUUGCACAUGUUAUCAUAUUCAUUUUUCGAGUUUUGAUUCCAAGAUAUUCUUUGUUAACGUUCUUUUAACAUAACUUUGCUUCUCCAAAUGCAAGCAUAUUUAGUUGUAUCUUUGUUAGAAUUGCCACAGCAUAGCAGCCACGGAAGAAAAUCUAGAGCAGAAAAAAAUUUCAUAAUCAGAAUCUGCAAAAAGAGAUUGGUAGUCUGUCAGACAACCGUGUGACCACCCCAGCCAGAGGAGCCCAGCUGAGAACGAUCCUCUACAGCCUCAGCAACCCCAAGGGUCAGUGAUAGCCGUUACUCACGCUCUGAUCAUACGGUCAUAGUUCAUCCACCAGACUUGAUAUCCUGUCUCCUUAGAACUCAAGGACACAGACGUACGAGCCUAUAGAACAGAUCCUGUUCAAGUAAGGUCGUGGCUGUUUGACCGUGCAUGCUCAAUAAGUAUUCUUUUUCCAUUGCUGAAUUUUCCAAUGUGGGAUAAAGGAGCAAAAAGAAACAUGCUUUUCUUGCUCAGAAAUGUUGUCGUUUUCCCUUGAAUAAAGGUUUUAAUCCUCAUACAAAACGUUUCUUUAACACUUUACCACUGUUAGUUGUUUAUGCUUCUUGUUUCUGCAGCUAACUGGCUGACUACUCUGCCAUAACCUCACCCAAACAAACAUAUAACUGUCAGAGACUACUUCCAACUCAUUGAGUUCCCCCAUUUUUCCAACUUCUAAGAAGCUUUUAAAAAAUUCCAAUGCAACAAAAUGGCAUUAAACUUUCAAAGUUUUAGGCACCUUAAUCCAGAUAAUGUAAACUUCAUUUUCCGCUCUGAAAGAAAUUAAACACUUUCAACAUAUUAGAUUUCGUAUUUAUUUUUAUGUUAAAAACAUCAUGAACAUUUGAGAAAUAGGCUUCUAGGGAAUCUUCAAAAUUAUUUUUCCCUAAAGAGCAAUUCAACAAAUUCAUUGUAAUUCGAGUUUGACCUACUUAUCCAGCUCAAUUCCUUGAUGAUGAUUCUAUCGGUCCAUCCCAGAUCGUAAUGCUUCAGAUUGGCAUUCUUUUUCAGAUAAGUUCAAAGACGAGAAGUUUGAGCUUUGAAGAAUUAUUUUUGAACUCACCGAAAAACAUAAAUGAAUUUACAAUUUGAUAUCAGAAAACAUGUAAUGAGUAAUAACACUUUGGUUAAUUGUUUCUAAAGGUGAAAUGCAGAAAAAUCCUGCAAGACUUGCUCCACCACAAUACCACAGGCAAAUAUUCCUACAGCGAAAACUACGGGCUUUGCUCUCGAUAACUCAUUUCUAUCAGAAUCUUUGGAUUCUUGAUUGUGCACUGCCCACGCCAUUGCUGGCGGUAGAACUCCAUAUAGCACUGUCAUACAGUAGCCCCCCUGCAUUAAUGUGUCAACAGGGUGAGUUUGAAAUGUUGUUAAGUUUCCAUUGCUUGAUGUAUGCUUAAACUUACAGCAAUAUCUGUAGCAGCGGAGAAUGCAUCGGGUACUGUUGUCGAGAUGAAGAGGGACGGAGCAACAACCAUUGCCAUUGCAGUGAAGCUGAUCUUAUUUCUUCCCCACCAGUUCCUCAGCCCAAAGAACUCUGUUGAUUCCUUUUAUGCAAAGGUAUUAAUGGUUUGGAACAAAAUGUAAGAGGAACUGAAACUUAAUUGGAAAAAAGAGUCAAACCUACCUUAGACGUUUUUGUAGGGGAAGAGUUCCAUGACAAGCUUUUGAGCUGCUCCUUGAAGAAUUCUGAGAAGCCCAAGAGAGUGCCUAUUAGUGAAGUUCCUACCGCCAUAAGCGAAAAUGCCUCCACCAUUACUGAAACACCGCUCCAUCUCACCCUGAACGUAACUUUGAUAUCAAAUUUAGCACAAAAUAUAAACCAGAAAAAGAAUAGGCAAAUGAGUACAAACAAGCAUGAAAUUCAUUCCGACAGCAGUCUUGAGAUCAAAUUAAAAACUAAAUUCAGAACCGGCAAAAAUGAGAUUUCGAAGUCUGUCAGACAACCGUGUGACCACCCCAGCCGGAGUAACCCAGCUGAGAACGAUCCUCUACAGCCUCAACAACCCAAGGGUCAGUGACGACCAUUACUCACGCCUAUUAGUGAAGUUCCUACCGCCAUAAGCGAAAAUGCCUCCACCAUUACUGAAACACCGCUCCAUCUCACCCUGAACGUAACUUUGAUAUCAAAUUUAGCACAAAAUAUAAACCAGAAAAAGAAUAGGCAAAUGAGUACAAACAAGCAUGAAAUUCAUUCCGACAGCAGUCUUGAGAUCAAAUUAAAAACUAAAUUCAGAACCGGCAAAAAUGAGAUUUCGAAGUCUGUCAGACAACCGUGUGACCACCCCAGCCGGAGUAACCCAGCUGAGAACGAUCCUCUACAGCCUCAACAACCCAAGGGUCAGUGACGACCAUUACUCACGCUCUGAUCACACGGUCAUGACUCAUCCACCAGACUUGAUAUCCUGUCUCCUUAGAACUCAAGGACACAGAGGUACGAGCCUAUAGAACAGAUCCUGUUCAAGUAAGGUCGUGCCUUUCUGACAAGACACUACUUAAUAAGAAGGCUUCUUUCAUUGCUUAAUUCUUCCAUGUGGGUUUCGAUAUGAACAUGGUGGUUUUUGCUUAUCUAUUUGCCUGUCUUGUGUUUAACAUUUUCCAUAUAUGAGAAUACAAUAUUUUAUAUUUUACAAAAGAUUGCAGCAUGCAGUAAUGCAGUGGCUGUCCCCAGAAUUGAAGGUCUACUAUAAAAGUGUUCUUAUCCACUGACCAGCUUGGGUUGUUUAUUUUUGUUUUUGCAGCCCAGCUGGCUACUCAUAAAAAACUAAUGCAUU